This 465-nucleotide ribosomal RNA is filed under the name Vreelandella stevensii. Its description in RNAcentral is "partial 16S ribosomal RNA". It matches the Rfam family "Bacterial small subunit ribosomal RNA", at positions 338 to 795 of the family's 1533-position model. The record is from RNAcentral. Lineage: Bacteria; Pseudomonadati; Pseudomonadota; Gammaproteobacteria; Oceanospirillales; Halomonadaceae.
CCUACGGGAGGCAGCAGUGGGGAAUAUUGGACAAUGGGGGGAACCCUGAUCCAGCCAUGCCGCGUGUGUGAAGAAGGCCCUCGGGUUGUAAAGCACUUUCAGUGAGGAAGAACGCCUGGUGGUUAAUACCCAUCAGGAAAGACAUCACCCACAGAAGAAGCACCGGCUAACUCCGUGCCAGCAGCCGCGGUAAUACGGAGGGUGCGAGCGUUAAUCGGAAUUACUGGGCGUAAAGCGCGCGUAGGUGGCUUGAUAAGCCGGUUGUGAAAGCCCCGGGCUCAACCUGGGAACGGCAUCCGGAACUGUCAAGCUAGAGUGCAGGAGAGGAAGGUAGAAUUCCCGGUGUAGCGGUGAAAUGCGUAGAGAUCGGGAGGAAUACCAGUGGCGAAGGCGGCCUUCUGGACUGACACUGACACUGAGGUGCGAAAGCGUGGGUAGCAAACAGGAUUAGAUACCCUGGUAGUC